UCCUACGGGAGGCAGCAGUGGGGAAUAUUGCACAAUGGGCGAAAGCCUGAUGCAGCAACGCCGCGUGAGCGAAGAAGGUCUUCGGAUCGUAAAGCUCUGUCCUAUGGGAAGAACACAAUGACGGUACCAUAGGAGGAAGCCCCGGCUAACUACGUGCCAGCAGCCGCGGUAAUACGUAGGGGGCAAGCGUUAUCCGGAAUCACUGGGCGUAAAGGGUGCGUAGGCGGUUUCUCAAGCCAGAAGUGAAAGGCAAUGGCUCAACCAUUGUAAGCUUUUGGAACUGAGAGACUUGAGUGCAGGAGAGGAAAGUGGAAUUCCUAGUGUAGAGGUGAAAUUCGUAGAUAUCAGGAGGAACACCAGUGGCGAAGGCGACUUUCUGGACUGUAACCGACGCUGAGGCACGAAAGUGUGGGGAGCGAACAGGAUUAGAUACCCUGGUAGUCCACACCGUAAACGAUGAAUACUAGGUGUCGGGGGUCGAACCUCGGUGCCGCAGCUAACGCAUUAAGUAUUCCGCCUGGGGAGUACGCACGCAAGUGUGAAACUCAAAUGAAUUGACGG
Molecule: ribosomal RNA, 561 nt
Filed under: uncultured bacterium
Lineage: Bacteria
Description: bacterial SSU rRNA
Rfam family: Bacterial small subunit ribosomal RNA
Source: RNAcentral